This 253-nucleotide ribosomal RNA is filed under the name uncultured bacterium. RNAcentral's name for it is "partial 16S ribosomal RNA". It matches the Rfam family "Bacterial small subunit ribosomal RNA", at positions 524 to 776 of the family's 1533-position model. The record is from RNAcentral.
GACAGAGGGUGCAAACGUUGCUCGGAAUCACUGGGCGUAAAGCGCACGUAGGCGGAUUUUUAAGUCAGGGGUGAAAUCCUGGAGCUCAACUCCAGAACUGCCUUUGAUACUGGGAAUCUCGAGUCCGGGAGAGGUGAGUGGAACUGCGAGUGUAGAGGUGAAAUUCGUAGAUAUUCGCAAGAACACCAGUGGCGAAGGCGGCUCACUGGCCCGGUACUGACGCUGAGGUGCGAAAGCGUGGGGAGCAAACAGG